GCCUUGGAACAAUGUUCUCCUUACGAAUCGUGUCAGGUUCGGAAGAAAGCAGCACUAAGUAUGUGAGGGCAUGUGUUCCAAGUUACG
This 87-nucleotide signal recognition particle RNA is filed under the name Ligilactobacillus equi. RNAcentral's name for it is "signal recognition particle sRNA small type". It matches the Rfam family "Bacterial small signal recognition particle RNA". From Rfam's summary of the family: The signal recognition particle (SRP) is a universally conserved ribonucleoprotein involved in the co-translational targeting of proteins to membranes. Archaeal SRP consists of a 7S RNA and homologues of the eukaryotic SRP19 and SRP54 proteins. RNAcentral also lists the same sequence under 2 other names. The record is from RNAcentral. Lineage: Bacteria; Bacillati; Bacillota; Bacilli; Lactobacillales; Lactobacillaceae.